UGCUGCUAGGUUUGUGUGCAGAGUCAUGUACGCAGUACCUUAGACACAGACUUCAGUGUGUACGGUACGUUGAGAGUAUUUUACUUUACCAAAGGUUUCAUUUGUACAACUAAAAAUGAUUGAAUACACCGUAGUAAUGGUUCGGCAUGGUGAAAGCGAAUGGAACAAGGCAAACUUCUUUACCGGGUGGUACGAUGCACAAUUAAGUGAUAAAGGGAAAGAAGAAGCGAAAUCUGCUGGAAAAGCUCUAAAGGACGGAGGGUAUACCUUUGAUUUAGCGUAUACAUCGGUACUAUCACGGGCACAGGACACUUUAGAUUCUGUUCUGUGCGCCUUGGACGCGAAAGACCUACCUGUUAAGAAGACAUGGCGUUUAAAUGAGCGUCAUUACGGUGGUUUAACUGGGCUGAAUAAAAGUGAAACUGCCAAGAAAUACGGUGCAGAGCAAGUACAUUUAUGGCGUCGAAGUUUUGAUGUCCCACCCCCAGAAAUGUAGCCAGGACACAAGUAUUAUGACAACAUAAACAAAGAUGAGAGAUACAAAGAUGUAGACCCAGCAGACAUGCCAAAAUGUGAGAGUUUGGAACUUACUAUUAAAAGAACCUUACCUUACUGGAAUGAUGAAAUUGUGCCGAGCAUUAAAGCUGGGAAGAAGGUUAUUAUAGCAGCUCAUGGCAACAGUCUUCGUGGGAUUGUCAAGUAUUUAGAUGACAUGUCAAAUGAAAGGAUUAUGGCACUUAACAUACCUACAGGAAUCCCUUUCUAUUAUAAACUGGAUGAAAACAUGAAACCGAUAGUUUCAAUGCAGUUCCUGGGUGACAAGGAAACAGUUGAUAAAGCUAUGGCUGCUGUCGCUGCCCAAGGACAAGCAAAAUAAACUCAAAAUAUAACAAGUUGCAUGCAGUAGGCUAUAUACAAAUCAUGUCAUUUGCAAUCGUUUCUGUAUUUGCACGCUUCUGCACCAAAUAAGGUGUUCUGUAUAAUACAGUAUAAUAUAUAUUCAAGAUAUUGUUUCUUUGCAUCCAAUUUGAGUUCAAUCUGAAUAAAUAAAUCAUUGCUUUCGC
Molecule: non-coding RNA, 1064 nt
Organism: Ciona intestinalis (vase tunicate)
Lineage: Eukaryota; Metazoa; Chordata; Ascidiacea; Phlebobranchia; Cionidae
Source: RefSeq, a predicted model, not a curated record